AUUGAACGCUGGCGGCAUGCCUUACACAUGCAAGUCGAACGGCAGCAUGGAGAGCUUGCUCUCUGAUGGCGAGUGGCGAACGGGUGAGUAAUGCAUCGGAACGUACCGUGUAAUGGGGGAUAACGUAGCGAAAGUUACGCUAAUACCGCAUACGACCUGAGGGCGAAAGCAGGGGAUCGCAAGACCUUGCGUUAUACGAGCGGCCGAUGUCAGGAUUAGCUAGUUGGUGAGGUAAAGGCUCACCAAGGCGACGAUCUGUAGCGGGUCUGAGAGGAUGAGCCGCCACGCUGGGACUGAGACACGGCCCAGACUCCUACGGGAGGCAGCAGUGGGGAAUUUUGGACAAUGGGGGCAACCCUGAUCCAGCCAUGCCGCGUGAGUGAAGAAGGCCUUCGGGUUGUAAAGCUCUUUCGGCCGGGAAGAAAUCGCACAGGCUAAUACUCUGUGUGGAUGACGGUACCGGCAUAAGAAGCACCGGCUAACUACGUGCCAGCCGCCGCAGUAA
Molecule: ribosomal RNA, 505 nt
Filed under: uncultured bacterium
Lineage: Bacteria
Description: partial 16S ribosomal RNA
Rfam family: Bacterial small subunit ribosomal RNA
Source: RNAcentral